RNAcentral lists this ribosomal RNA (103 nucleotides) under Microtus ochrogaster (prairie vole). Lineage: Eukaryota; Metazoa; Chordata; Mammalia; Rodentia; Cricetidae. The record is from RNAcentral.
GGCCACAGGCACACUACCCUGAACCCUUGAGAUCUGAUCUGAGAAGCUAAGCAGGGCCAGGCCAGGUUAGUACUUGGAUGGAAAAUACCAGGUGGUGUAGGAU